This 1332-nucleotide long non-coding RNA is filed under the name Olea europaea subsp. europaea. The record is from RNAcentral. Lineage: Eukaryota; Viridiplantae; Streptophyta; Magnoliopsida; Lamiales; Oleaceae.
CAGGCAUUAAAUCAAGUGCUAAUUCACUCCCCAAACAAGCCCUUAUCAAAUCGUAAUCAUGCUCUUAAUCCUCAAAUUGGUGUCCAUUCAUACUCCUCCCUUCCUCCCAGAUCAUCUCAACUCAAUAUAUUCCAAAAAUCAUACCAGAGUUUGGUAUUAUACAAAUUUCUAGCACCGUAGUCCUUUACAUCAUUCCAAAUUGUAAAAUUCUUGACUUUAUUUGUUUCGUUGAUUAGGGAUUUAUCACAUCUAUAAAACCCUAAUCGAUGAUGAAGGUACAAAAAUCCUCUCUCAAAAAUCCUAUUUUUCUGAGGUAAUACGAAGUGGGUUCCAAGUUUCCGACAGGUUAUGGGAUCACAUAGAAUCAGUUCAAAUUUGUUUUCAAACAACAAUAAAAAAAUGGCCCAAAAUACAAAUUCGGCUACUCAUAAAUCUAUUCACUCCUCUGGGCUUUGUAUGGGUACACCAAAAUACUGAAGCUACUCCUUGUCCAGGGGUUCUAUCAAGACCCAGCAAGUUGGUACAUCAUCUAAGUCUCUAGAGAUCAUUGAGCCAAAAGAAGAAAAAUUUGAGACUCCUUAUCACCGCAUUACCCGGUGGUCCAGAUCUAUUGGUGUUCUGUCAGAUAAAAUUUAUCCUCUUCAUUUGGAAAUUGGAUGACUGGAAAUCCCUCUGCUACAGUUGCCGACGGUUCCCACUUCACUGAAUCCCUGCCACAGUUACAAAAAUUCAAAGUUUCUGGUGUAGUCAGCAUACCAACUGGAGUUUGCCUCUUCCCUUUUCCUCUUCUCCUUUUGGUUGGUCCAGUGCACGCACAAUGGAGUUUUUGGGGCAAAGAGGAAAUUUUAGUGCAGGCCGGUGCCUGCACGGGCCUCUGUGUAGCUCCACCUUUGCUUGUUUUGACAAACCAUUGAAGGGGAAAAUUCAAGUUUCCGUAUAAAGCCAUAAAAGAAGUGAUGGGGUCUAUGACUAAAAAUAAAGUUUGGGAUCCGUUGAAUUGUUAAAUGAACAUAAAGCUGGGCCCAUAAGGCCAGAAAAUGCACCUGGUCCUGUAGAAUGAUAUAUGGCCAGACUUGUAGCCAAGGAUUUCACUCAAAAGAAGGCAUCGGUUAUUAUGAAAUAUUUUCUUCAAUUUCUAAUAAAGAUUUGCUUAGAAUUAUAAUGGCUUUAGAUGCUCAUUUUGAAUUGGAGCUAUAUGGAAUGGAUGUUUUCAACAUGGAGAUCUUGUAGAAGAAGUAUACAUGAAACAGCCUGAAGAAUUUACCAUUGAUAAAGUAAUCACAUAGUAUGCAAAUCAAAAAAAUUUAUAUGUGGGCUAAAAUAAGCUUCCCG